RNAcentral lists this ribosomal RNA (253 nucleotides) under uncultured bacterium. Its description in RNAcentral is "partial 16S ribosomal RNA". It matches the Rfam family "Bacterial small subunit ribosomal RNA", at positions 524 to 776 of the family's 1533-position model. The record is from RNAcentral.
UACGUAGGCAGCAAGCGUUGUUCGGAGUUACUGGGCGUAAAGGGUGUGUAGGCGGCUCUCUAAGUUUGGUGUGAAAUCUCCCGGCUCAACCGGGAGGGUGCGCCGAAAACUGGAGGGCUAGAGUGCGGGAUGGGAGAGUAGAAUUCCUGGUGUAGCGGUGAAAUGCGUAGAUAUCAGGAGGAAUACCGGUGGUGUAGACGGCUCUCUGGACCGCAACUGACGCUGAAACACGAAAGCGUGGGUAGCAAACAGG